CUGGAGGACCGAACCGACUAAUGUUGAAAAAUUAGCGGAUGACUUGUGGCUGGGGGUGAAAGGCCAAUCAAACCGGGAGAUAGCUGGUUCUCCCCGAAAGCUAUUUAGGUAGCGCCUCGUGAAUUCAUCUCCGGGGGUAGAGCACUGUUUCGGCAAGGGGGUCAUCCCGACUUACCAACCCGAUGCAAACUGCGAAUACCGGAGAAUGUUAUCACGGGAGACACACGGCGGGUGCUAACGUCCGUCGUGAAGAGGGAAACAACCCAGACCGCCAGCUAAGGUCCCAAAGUCAUGGUUAAGUGGGAAACGAUGUGGGAAGGCCCAGACAGCCAGGAUGUUGGCUUAGAAGCAGCCAUCAUUUAAAGAAAGCGUAAUAGCUCACUGGUCGAGUCGGCCUGCGCGGAAGAUGUAACGGGGCUAAACCAUGCACCGAAGCUGCGGCAGCGACACUAUGUGUUGUUGGGUAGGGGAGCGUUCUGUAAGCCUGUGAAGGUGGCCUGUGAGGG
This 506-nucleotide ribosomal RNA is filed under the name Escherichia coli. RNAcentral describes it as "partial 23S ribosomal RNA". It matches the Rfam family "Bacterial large subunit ribosomal RNA", at positions 766 to 1269 of the family's 2925-position model. The record is from RNAcentral. Lineage: Bacteria; Pseudomonadati; Pseudomonadota; Gammaproteobacteria; Enterobacterales; Enterobacteriaceae.